GCCUGGGUGGCUCAGUCAGUUAAGCAUCUGACUUCAGCUCAGGUUAUGAUAUCCCUGUUUGUGAGUUCAAGCCCCACAUCAGGCU
RNAcentral lists this transfer RNA (85 nucleotides) under Felis catus (domestic cat). It matches the Rfam family "tRNA". From Rfam's summary of the family: Transfer RNA (tRNA) molecules are approximately 80 nucleotides in length. Their secondary structure includes four short double-helical elements and three loops (D, anti-codon, and T loops). Further hydrogen bonds mediate the characteristic L-shaped molecular structure. tRNAs have two regions of fundamental functional importance: the anti-codon, which is responsible for specific mRNA codon recognition, and the 3' end, to which the tRNAs corresponding amino acid is attached (by aminoacyl-tRNA synthetases). tRNAs cope with the degeneracy of the genetic code in two manners: having more than one tRNA (with a specific anti-codon) for a particular amino acid; and 'wobble' base-pairing, i.e. permitting non-standard base-pairing at the 3rd anti-codon position. Lineage: Eukaryota; Metazoa; Chordata; Mammalia; Carnivora; Felidae. The record is from Rfam by way of RNAcentral. RNAcentral also lists the same sequence under 3 other names.